This 492-nucleotide ribosomal RNA is filed under the name uncultured bacterium. RNAcentral's name for it is "partial 16S ribosomal RNA". It matches the Rfam family "Bacterial small subunit ribosomal RNA", at positions 29 to 507 of the family's 1533-position model. The record is from RNAcentral.
AGUGAACGCUGGCGGUAGGCCUAACACAUGCAAGUCGAACGGCAGCACAGUAAGAGCUUGCUCUUACGGGUGGCGAGUGGCGGACGGGUGAGGAAUACAUCGGAAUCUACUUUUUCGUGGGGGAUAACGUAGGGAAACUUACGCUAAUCCCGCAUACGACCUACGGGUGAAAGCAUGGGAUCUUCGGACCUUGCGCGAUUGAAUGAGCCGAUGUCGGAUUAGCUAGUUGGCGGGGUAAAGGCCCACCAAGGCGACGAUCCGUAGCUGGUCUGAGAGGAUGAUCAGCCACACUGGAACUGAGACACGGUCCAGACUCCUACGGGAGGCAGCAGUGGGGAAUAUUGGACAAUGGGCGCAAGCCUGAUCCAGCCAUACCGCGUGGGUGAAGAAGGCCUUCGGGUUGUAAAGCCCUUUUGUUGGGAAAGAAAAGCAGCAGGUUAAUACCCCGCUGUUCUGACGGUACCCAAAGAAUAAGCACCGGCUAACUUCGUG